GUGUGUGUGGAUGUCUGUUAGUGUGUGUAUGUUAGUGUGUAUGUUAGUGUGUGUAUGUAAGUGUGUAUAUGUUAGUGUGUGUGGAUGUCUGUUAGUGUGUGUAUGUUAGUGUGUCUGUUAGUGUGUGUAUGUUAGUGUGUGUAUGUUAGUGUUAGUGUGUGUGUCUGUUAGUGUGUAUGUUAGUGUUAGUGUGUGUAUGUUAGUGUUAGUG
Pelobates cultripes (western spadefoot toad) is the source of this 211-nucleotide non-coding RNA. The record is from the annotation of a GenBank genome assembly. NCBI's taxonomy places the organism in Eukaryota, Metazoa, Chordata, Amphibia, Anura, Pelobatidae.